UCCGUAGGCGGUGUGGCAAGUCGGGAGUGAAAUCUCUGGGCUUAACUCAGAGGCUGCUUCCGAAACUGCCGUGCUAGAGUGUGAGAGAGGCGAGUGGAAUUGCGGGUGUAGCGGUGAAAUGCGUAGAUAUCCGCAGGAACAUCCGAGGCGAAAGCGGCUCGCUGGAUCACAACUGACGCUGAGGGACGAAAGCUAGGGAGCAAACA
RNAcentral lists this ribosomal RNA (206 nucleotides) under uncultured bacterium. RNAcentral describes it as "partial 16S ribosomal RNA". It matches the Rfam family "Bacterial small subunit ribosomal RNA", at positions 568 to 774 of the family's 1533-position model. The record is from RNAcentral.